AGAGUUUGAUCAUGGCUCAGAUUGAACGCUGGCGGCAGGCCUAACACAUGCAAGUCGAGCGGUAGCACAGAGAGCUUGCUCUCGGGUGACGAGCGGCGGACGGGUGAGUAAUGUCUGGGAAACUGCCUGAUGGAGGGGGAUAACUACUGGAAACGGUAGCUAAUACCGCAUAAUGUCGCAAGACCAAAGUGGGGGACCUUCGGGCCUCAUGCCAUCAGAUGUGCCCAGAUGGGAUUAGCUAGUAGGUGGGGUAACGGCUCACCUAGGCGACGAUCCCUAGCUGGUCUGAGAGGAUGACCAGCCACACUGGAACUGAGACACGGUCCAGACUCCUACGGGAGGCAGCAGUGGGGAAUAUUGCACAAUGGGCGCAAGCCUGAUGCAGCCAUGCCGCGUGUGUGAAGAAGGCCUUCGGGUUGUAAAGCACUUUCAGCGGGGAGGAAGGCGGUGAGGUUAAUAACCUCAUCGAUUGACGUUACCCGCAGAAGAAGCACCGGCUAACUCCGUGCCAGCAGCCGCGGUAAUACGGAGGGUGCAAGCGUUAAUCGGAAUUACUGGGCGUAAAGCGCACGCAGGCGGUCUGUCAAGUCGGAUGUGAAAUCCCCGGGCUCAACCUGGGAACUGCAUUCGAAACUGGCAGGCUAGAGUCUUGUAGAGGGGGGUAGAAUUCCAGGUGUAGCGGUGAAAUGCGUAGAGAUCUGGAGGAAUACCGGUGGCGAAGGCGGCCCCCUGGACAAAGACUGACGCUCAGGUGCGAAAGCGUGGGGAGCAAACAGGAUUAGAUACCCUGGUAGUCCACGCCGUAAACGAUGUCGAUUUGGAGGUUGUGCCCUUGAGGCGUGGCUUCCGGAGCUAACGCGUUAAAUCGACCGCCUGGGGAGUACGGCCGCAAGGUUAAAACUCAAAUGAAUUGACGGGGGCCCGCACAAGCGGUGGAGCAUGUGGUUUAAUUCGAUGCAACGCGAAGAACCUUACCUGGUCUUGACAUCCACAGAACUUUCCAGAGAUGGAUUGGUGCCUUCGGGAACUGUGAGACAGGUGCUGCAUGGCUGUCGUCAGCUCGUGUUGUGAAAUGUUGGGUUAAGUCCCGCAACGAGCGCAACCCUUAUCCUUUGUUGCCAGCGGU
Molecule: ribosomal RNA, 1126 nt
Filed under: Klebsiella pneumoniae
Lineage: Bacteria; Pseudomonadati; Pseudomonadota; Gammaproteobacteria; Enterobacterales; Enterobacteriaceae
Description: bacterial SSU rRNA
Rfam family: Bacterial small subunit ribosomal RNA
Source: RNAcentral